GACAGAGGGUGCAAACGUUGUUCGGAAUCGCUGGGCAUAAAGCGCACGUAGGCGGCCCACUAAGUCAGUUGUGAAAGCCCCCGGCUCAACCGGGGAAUGGCAUCUGAUACUGGUGGGCUUGAGGAAGGUAGGGGUGGGCGGAACUCCAGGUGGAGCGGUGAAAUGCGUGGAUAUCUGGAGGAACACCGGUGGCGAAAGCGGCCCACUGGACCUUCUCUGACGCUGAGGUGCGAAAGCUAGGGUAGCAAACGGG
Molecule: ribosomal RNA, 253 nt
Filed under: uncultured bacterium
Lineage: Bacteria
Description: partial 16S ribosomal RNA
Rfam family: Bacterial small subunit ribosomal RNA
Source: RNAcentral